This is a long non-coding RNA of Macadamia integrifolia, 750 nucleotides long. RefSeq lists it as uncharacterized. NCBI's taxonomy places the organism in Eukaryota, Viridiplantae, Streptophyta, Magnoliopsida, Proteales, Proteaceae. The record is from RefSeq and is a predicted model, not a curated record. The transcript has 2 exons.
ACUACAAUUUGAUCUCAAUGAUAAAUUCCCAGAAAAUCUCACCACACUCACAUUAUCAGGGUCCGAGUUAACUGAAAACCCAAUGCCAAAAUUACAGAAGCUACCCAAGCUACAAUUCCUUAGGUUGCUGUCCAAAUCUUUCGAGGGCGAGAACAUGGUUUGUUCAUCAGGAGGGUUUGUCCAGCUUCGGGUCUUAAGGAUUUGGAAGCUAGAAAAACUCCAGACAUUGACUGUGGAAGAAGGAGCGAUGCCGAAUAUUGAGGAGUUGGAGAUAAGAUAUUGCAAUAACAUGAAGAAGCUUUCUCGAGUGCCAGAGACCCUUAAUGAAUUGAAGUUGCACAGCAUGCCAGAGGAAUUCACCAAGGACUAUGUGAAAUAUAAAGUCUGCAGGGUUGUCAAUAAAGCUUAACGUAGUUUGCUCCGGCACUGGAUUUCUGGAUUUCUGGAUUUCUGGAUUUCAGGGAAUAAUGAAACAAAAUUCGCGGAGGAAAUGGAAUAGAUUUCAGCAAAAUUUGGCUCCUAUUUGCAGCCAGAUGAGAUUGGAUCGAUUUGAAACAUUGUAGAAAGAAGUUUCAAGGACAUGCCAAAGUGCAAAACUUUUCUUUUUGAUUGCUGGGUUGAGUCUUCAUUUGAAUUUCACUUUGUGUUUCGUUUGGUUUGUGUGUUUGUAGUUAGUUGUCUUUGCCUGAAUAAAUUGUAACAUUCUCCAAACUUGUAUUUCUUCAAUCAAAUUACAGACGAUGUUUCUAA